RNAcentral lists this ribosomal RNA (273 nucleotides) under uncultured bacterium. RNAcentral's name for it is "partial 16S ribosomal RNA". It matches the Rfam family "Bacterial small subunit ribosomal RNA", at positions 524 to 796 of the family's 1533-position model. The record is from RNAcentral.
UACGAAGGGUGCAAGCGUUAAUCGGAAUUACUGGGCGUAAAGCGCGCGUAGGUGGUUCAGCAAGUUGGAUGUGAAAUCCCCGGGCUCAACCUGGGAACUGCAUCCAAAACUACUGAGCUAGAGUACGGUAGAGGGUGGUGGAAUUUCCUGUGUAGCGGUGAAAUGCGUAGAUAUAGGAAGGAACACCAGUGGCGAAGGCGACCACCUGGACUGAUACUGACACUGAGGUGCGAAAGCGUGGGGAGCAAACAGGAUUAGAUACCCCCGUAGUCC